This 460-nucleotide ribosomal RNA is filed under the name uncultured bacterium. RNAcentral's name for it is "partial 16S ribosomal RNA". It matches the Rfam family "Bacterial small subunit ribosomal RNA", at positions 338 to 795 of the family's 1533-position model. The record is from RNAcentral.
CCUACGGGUGGCAGCAGUGAGGAAUAUUGGUCAAUGGACGAAAGUCUGAACCAGCCAAGUAGCGUGAAGGAUGACGGCCCCAUGGGUUGUAAACUUCUUUUAUCAAGGGAUAAAAUGAGGCACGUGUGCCUUUUUGAAGGUACUUUAUGAAUAAGCAUCGGCUAACUCCGUGCCAGCAGCCGCGGUAAUACGGAGGAUCCGAGCGUUAUCCGGAUUUAUUGGGUUUAAAGGGAGCGUAGGCCGGUUGUUAAGUCAGCCGUGAAAGGUCGGGGCUCAACCCUGGGAGUGCGGUUGAAACUGGCUGGCUUGAGAGCACGAGAGGUAUGCGGAAUUCGUGGUGUAGCGGUGAAAUGCUUAGAUAUCACGAAGAACCCCGAUUGCGAAGGCAGCAUACUGGAGGGGGACUGACGCUGAGGCUCGAAAGCGUGGGUAUCGAACAGGAUUAGAUACCCUAGUAGUC